Molecule: long non-coding RNA, 185 nt
Organism: Bufo gargarizans (Asiatic toad)
Lineage: Eukaryota; Metazoa; Chordata; Amphibia; Anura; Bufonidae
Exons: 3
Source: RefSeq, a predicted model, not a curated record
GAGCAGCUGCACAUUGUGUGUCUCUUACUAAAGCAUCGUCGAAAAAAAAUUAAAACAAUUGGCCAGCCACCUUGCCCGCAUGCCAGCGCGCCUGCCUCCCAGCUUGUUUUAGGCCGUAUUUUUUGACAAGUACGGUACAUCUUCAAGUGAGCCCGGGAGCUCUCCUCCUCGACAACGUCAUCGAC